UGUCUAAACGACUUUUGGCAACGGAUAUCUCGGCUCUUGCAUCGAUGAAGAACGUAGGGAAAUGCGAUACUUGGUGUGAAUUGCAGAAUCCCGUGAACCAUCGAGUCUUUGAACCCAAAUUUCCCCCCAAACCAUUAGGGCCAGGGCACCCCUUCCUGGGCGUCAAACG
RNAcentral lists this ribosomal RNA (169 nucleotides) under Rubus parvifolius var. taquetii. Its description in RNAcentral is "5.8S ribosomal RNA". It matches the Rfam family "5.8S ribosomal RNA". From Rfam's summary of the family: 5.8S ribosomal RNA (5.8S rRNA) is a component of the large subunit of the eukaryotic ribosome. Lineage: Eukaryota; Viridiplantae; Streptophyta; Magnoliopsida; Rosales; Rosaceae. The record is from RNAcentral.